Small nucleolar RNA from Lotus japonicus, 98 nucleotides. RefSeq annotates it as small nucleolar RNA Z103. The transcript has a single exon. NCBI's taxonomy places the organism in Eukaryota, Viridiplantae, Streptophyta, Magnoliopsida, Fabales, Fabaceae. The record is from RefSeq and is a predicted model, not a curated record.
AUGGAAGUGAUGAUUUUUUCCCCAGAUGAUCGAAGCUGAACAUAACCGUGCGAUUUUUCUCAAAUUUUGAGAAACCAAGCCUAAUAAAUCUGAUCCAU